CAGCAGCCACGGUAAUACGGAGGGUGCGAGCGUUAAUCGGAAUUACUGGGCGUAAAGCGUGCGCAGGCGGUUCGUUAAGACAGAUGUGAAAUCCCCGGGCUUAACCUGGGAACUGCACUUGUGACUGGCGAGCUAGAGUAUGGCAGAGGGGGGUAGAACUCCACGUGUAGCAGUGAAAUGCGUAGAGAUGUGGAGGAAUACCGGUGGCGAAGGCAGCCCCCUGGGCCAAUACUGACGCUCAUGCACGAAAGCGUGGGGAGCAAACAGGAUUAGAUACCCCGGUAGUCCCUGUCUCUUAUAC
This 301-nucleotide ribosomal RNA is filed under the name uncultured bacterium. Its description in RNAcentral is "partial 16S ribosomal RNA". It matches the Rfam family "Bacterial small subunit ribosomal RNA", at positions 509 to 807 of the family's 1533-position model. The record is from RNAcentral.